GCCUUUUACCUCCCCUGCAACUACUGUUGGCUGAGACUUGAGAUUGAUCUGACCCAUGAUGAAUAUGUGUGUAUCUGUGAACGGCAACAGCACAGCGCUGAUCUGAGGGUGGUCCUGUAAUACCAGCCCAGGCUGGUGACAAGCAAGAAAUUGAGCCCUGACUCAAGAACAGAACUAUAUGCUCACCUUUCAGCUGUGACUUUAGUUGGCCAUACGCACGACAACAUCUCUUUUGCUGGAUGAGAGUAAACUAAACACAGUCAGAGUUCCUGUAUAAAUGGAGAUGAUUCAGGAUUGCUCUCUGUCACAAACCUUCCGUGAAUUUCAGGUAUAUGAGAGACCUGCAACUCCACAGUUCGCGUUUGGGGUUGUCAGCUCAAGGAGCUUUCACUUCCCAUUCAUUACUGCCUAAGUGAGCUGCUGGGAAGCCACGGAGCACAAAGCAAUGCCACUCAUGCUGCCAUCGCUCCUAUUUUCAGCUCCACAAGCUCCAGAGCAAAGCAAUGUGAGGGGAGGAUGGAAGAACCAGGCUGCCCGGACACCUCGUCACAGCUGUGACUUACCCUCCUCUAAGACUCUGCUUUGCUCCGUGCAUUGCUGGAGGAUGAGGUAAGGAAUAAAAAAAUUCACUGAUAAUUUUUUUUUUUUCUGUGGCAAUUACUGUACAUUUAUUGGGUUUAUGCUGCUUUCUUUUGGCCCUGUGCUUCUGAGGUUUUGUUUAGUGGCAUGGGGCCUCUUGUCCUGCCUUUUGAGAUUGAGAGCCAUGACUGCUUACAGACUUGUUGAUCCAAUAUGCCCUAUGGGGCUUAAUUUUGAAGUGCCGUUAUUGAUUUGUCACUUAGGAGUGAGGUGAUAAGCUAUCCUUCUUACUAGUCAAGAUCUUUCUAGCUCUCUAGCCUCAGCACAGCAUCUGCUGCAGUCAUGUCUUCUGCAGAAAGUUGAACAUCUGUUUGGAGAGAAGUCCCAGGGUUUUCAGGCCAAACCUCAUUAGCUCAUUUCAACAGGCAGUGAA
Non-coding RNA from Phalacrocorax carbo (great cormorant), 1012 nucleotides. The record is from RefSeq and is a predicted model, not a curated record. NCBI's taxonomy places the organism in Eukaryota, Metazoa, Chordata, Aves, Suliformes, Phalacrocoracidae.